RNAcentral lists this ribosomal RNA (527 nucleotides) under uncultured bacterium. RNAcentral describes it as "bacterial SSU rRNA". It matches the Rfam family "Bacterial small subunit ribosomal RNA", at positions 28 to 526 of the family's 1533-position model. The record is from RNAcentral.
GACGAACGCUGGCGGCGUGCCUAAUACAUGCAAGUUGAACGCUAAAGCUUUAACUGGUGCUUGCACCGACUUAAGUUUUUAGAGUAGCGGACGGGUGAGUAACACGUGGGUAACCUGCCCAUCAGAGGGGGAUAACACUUGGAAACAGGUGCUAAUACCGCAUAAUUCCUUUUACCGCAUGGUAAAAGGCUGAAAGGCGCUUCUGGUGUCACUGAUGGAUGGACCCGCGGUGCAUUAGCUAGUUGGUGAGGUAACGGCUCACCAAGGCCACGAUGCAUAGCCGACCUGAGAGGGUGAUCGGCCACAUUGGGACUGAGACACGGCCCAAACUCCUACGGGAGGCAGCAGUAGGGAAUCUUCGGCAAUGGACGAAAGUCUGACCGAGCAACGCCGCGUGAGUGAAGAAGGUUUUCGGAUCGUAAAACUCUGUUGUUAGAGAAGAACAAGGAUGAGAGUAACUGUUCAUCCCUUGACGGUAUCUAACCAGAAAGCCACGGCUAACUACGUGCCAGCCGCCGCAGUAAUAC